UGUGAGCAAGAGCCCGGAGAUGGAUUCUGAGACACGAAUCCAGGCCCUACGGGGCGCAGCAGGCGCGAAAACUUUACAAUGCGAGAAAUCGUGAUAAGGGAACUCCGAGUGCCCGUAAAAUCGGGCUGUCCGCCAGUGUAAAUAACUGGUGAAGAAAGGGCCGGGCAAGACCGGUGCCAGCCGCCGCGGUAAUACCGGCGGCUCGAGUGGUGGCCACUAUUACUGGGCUUAAAGCGUUCGUAGCUGGUCUGUUAAGUCUCUGGGGAAAUCUUCCGGCUUAACCGGAAGGCGUCUCAGGGAUACUGGCAGACUAGGGACCGGAAGAGGUGAGAGGUACUCCAGGGGUAGGAGUGAAAUCCUGUAAUCCUUGGGGGACCACCUGUGGCGAAGGCGUCUCACCAGGACGGCUCCGACAGUGAGGAACGAAAGCUGGGGGAGCAAACCGGAUUAGAUACCCGGGUAGUCCCAGCUGUAAACGAUGCACGUUAGGUGUAUCGGUGACCACGAGUCACCGAGGUGCCGAAGAGAAAUCGUGAAACGUGCCGCCUGGGAAGUACGGUCGCAAGGCUGAAACUUAA
This 578-nucleotide ribosomal RNA is filed under the name uncultured archaeon. RNAcentral's name for it is "bacterial SSU rRNA". It matches the Rfam family "Archaeal small subunit ribosomal RNA", at positions 277 to 859 of the family's 1478-position model. The record is from RNAcentral.